This 107-nucleotide small nucleolar RNA is filed under the name Sorghum bicolor (sorghum). RNAcentral's name for it is "Plant small nucleolar RNA R71". It matches the Rfam family "Plant small nucleolar RNA R71". From Rfam's summary of the family: R71 is a member of the C/D box family of snoRNAs containing the C (UGAUGA) and D (CUGA) box motifs. The record is from Rfam by way of RNAcentral. Lineage: Eukaryota; Viridiplantae; Streptophyta; Magnoliopsida; Poales; Poaceae.
AUUCCAUGAUGAGGACAGGCCCAGAUGUACUCCUGGAGCCUUUCCCAUGCUUCGGGGAUGGACUCUAGUGAAGACUGCUAGAAGUUGGAUAUCUUCCCUCUUAGAGC